RNAcentral lists this ribosomal RNA (460 nucleotides) under uncultured bacterium. RNAcentral's name for it is "partial 16S ribosomal RNA". It matches the Rfam family "Bacterial small subunit ribosomal RNA", at positions 338 to 795 of the family's 1533-position model. The record is from RNAcentral.
CCUACGGGAGGCAGCAGUGAGGAAUAUUGGUCAAUGGACGAGAGUCUGAACCAGCCAAGUAGCGUGAAGGAUGACUGCCCUAUGGGUUGUAAACUUCUUUUAUAAAGGAAUAAAACGAGGCACGUGUGCCUUUUUGCAUGUACUUUAUGAAUAAGGAUCGGCUAACUCCGUGCCAGCAGCCGCGGUAAUACGGAGGAUCCGAGCGUUAUCCGGAUUUAUUGGGUUUAAAGGGAGCGUAGAUGGGUUGUUAAGUCAGUGGUGAAAGUUUGCGGCUCAACCGUAAAAUUGCAAUUGAUACUGGUAGUCUUGAGUACAGUUGAGGUAAGCGGAAUUCGUGGUGUAGCGGUGAAAUGCUUAGAUAUCACGAAGAACCCCGAUUGCGAAGGCAGCUUACUAAACUGUGACUGACAUUGAUGCUCGAAAGUGUGGGUAUCAAACAGGAUUAGAUACCCCAGUAGUC